UACGAGUGCCCCGAGCGUUAUCCGGAAUUAUUGGGCGUAAAGGGUGCGUAGGUGGUUGUGUUAGUCGUGUGUCAAAGCCAGGGGCUUAACCUCUGGACCGCAAACGAAACGGCACAACUAGAGGGUAUGAGAGGCGUACGGAACUCAUGGUGUAGGGGUGAAAUCCGUUGAUAUCAUGGGGAACACCAAAGGCGAAGGCAGUACGCUGGCAUAUUUCUGACACUGAGGCACGAAAGCGUGGGUAGCGAAUGGG
Molecule: ribosomal RNA, 253 nt
Filed under: uncultured bacterium
Lineage: Bacteria
Description: partial 16S ribosomal RNA
Rfam family: Bacterial small subunit ribosomal RNA
Source: RNAcentral